CGCUGAUGGCCGGGCUUCGGGACAAGCCAGGGUCGAGUCCACACUAACAGAAGCCGGGUCUCCUCAGGACCCGCUGGGCCUUCAGCUUUGGGACACCGUGGGGUCCAGUUCAUGCUGACAGGAGCCUGGUCUCCUCAGGACCUGCUGGGAGGUGAUGCCGCUGAGGGAGAAGGUAAUCCACAGGACCCAAGAGAUGGUAGCUACUAAUAUACUCUUCCCACGGUGCCUCUUCAUACCAUGCGGAGUCCUACAAGGGAAAUAAGUAUCACAACUUUGGUUGAACGUGGUCUGGGUAUUUUCUCCCAAACAGUGAGCACAGGUUCUGGAACAACUGGAUACCCACAUGCAGAAGAGUAAAGUUGGACGCUUACCUCCCCCAACCCCAUAUACAAAAUCAACGCAAAAUGGACCAAAGGCCUAGAUGCAAGAACCAAAAUUAUAAAACUCGUAGAAGAAAACAUGAGAGUACAUCUUCAUGACCUUGGAUUUGGUCAUGAUUUCUUAGAUCUACCAAAAGCACAAGCAACAAAAGACAAAAUAGAUGAAUUGGACUUCCUCAAGAUGAAAAACAGUUGUGUAUAAAAGGAGCAAGGAAUAAGAUAAUCCACCAUCCAAAAUGGCCCAAGAUGUUUGCAAACCAU
Molecule: long non-coding RNA, 641 nt
Organism: Aethalodelphis obliquidens (Pacific white-sided dolphin)
Lineage: Eukaryota; Metazoa; Chordata; Mammalia; Artiodactyla; Delphinidae
Exons: 3
Source: RefSeq, a predicted model, not a curated record